This 345-nucleotide ribosomal RNA is filed under the name Clostridioides difficile. Its description in RNAcentral is "bacterial SSU rRNA". It matches the Rfam family "Bacterial small subunit ribosomal RNA", at positions 1042 to 1388 of the family's 1533-position model. The record is from RNAcentral. Lineage: Bacteria; Bacillati; Bacillota; Clostridia; Peptostreptococcales; Peptostreptococcaceae.
UGCAUGGUUGUCGUCAGCUCGUGUCGUGAGAUGUUGGGUUAAGUCCCGCAACGAGCGCAACCCUUGUCUUUAGUUGCCAUCAUUAAGUUGGGCACUCUAGAGAGACUGCCAGGGAUAACCUGGAGGAAGGUGGGGAUGACGUCAAAUCAUCAUGCCCCUUAUGCUUAGGGCUACACACGUGCUACAAUGGGUAGUACAGAGGGUUGCCAAGCCGUAAGGUGGAGCUAAUCCCUUAAAGCUACUCUCAGUUCGGAUUGUAGGCUGAAACUCGCCUACAUGAAGCUGGAGUUACUAGUAAUCGCAGAUCAGAAUGCUGCGGUGAAUGCGUUCCCGGGUCUUGUACAC